UAACGCGUAAGCAAUCUGCCCCUAAGACGAGGAUAACAGUUGGAAACGACUGCUAAGACUGGAUAGGAGACAAGAGGGCAUCUUCUUGUUUUUAAAAGACCUAGCAAUAGGUAUGCUUAGGGAGGAGCUUGCGUCACAUUAGUUAGUUGGUGGGGUAAAGGCCUACCAAGACUAUGAUGUGUAGCCGGGCUGAGAGGUUGAACGGCCACAUUGGGACUGAGACACGGCCCAAACUCCUACGGGAGGCAGCAGUAGGGAAUUUUCGGCAAUGGAGGAAACUCUGACCGAGCAACGCCGCGUGAACGAUGAAGUAUUUCGGUACGUAAAGUUCUUUUAUUAGGGAAGAAUAAAUGAUGGAAAAAUCAUUCUGACGGUACCUAAUGAAUAAGCCCCGGCUAUCUAUGUGCCAGCAGCCGCGGUAAUACAUAGGGGGCAAGCGUUAUCCGGAAUUAUUGGGCGUAAAGGGUGCGUAGGCGGUUAAAUAAGUUUAUGGUCUAAGUGCAAUGCUCAACAUUGUGAUGCUAUAAAAACUGUUUAGCUAGAGUAAGAUAGAGGCAAGUGGAAUUCCAUGUGUAGUGGUAAAAUGCGUAAAUAUAUGGAGGAACACCAGUAGCGAAGGCGGCUUGCUGGGUCUUUACUGACGCUGAGGCACGAAAGCGGGGGGAGCAAACAGGAUUAGAUACCCUGGUAGUCCACGCCGUAAACGAUGAGUACUAAACGUUGGGUAAAACCAGUGUUGAAGUUAACACAUUAAGUACUCCGCCUGAGUAGUACGUACGCAAGUAUGAAACUUAAAGGAAUUGACGGGACUCCGCACAAGCGGUGGAUCGUGUUGUUUAAUUCGAAGGUACCCGAAAAACCUCACCAGGUCUUGACAUGCUUCUGCAAAGCUGUAGAAACACAGUGGAGGUUAUCAGUUGCACAGGUGGUGCAUGGUUGUCGUCAGCUCGUGUCGUGAGAUGUCGGGUUAAGUCCCGCAACGAGCGCAACCCUUAUUGUUAGUUACCAGCACGUAAUGGUGGGGACUUUAGCAAGACUGCCAGUGAUAAAUUGGAGGAAGGUGGGGACGACGUCAAAUCAUCAUGCCCCUUAUGACCUGGGCUACAAACGUGAUACAAUGGCUGUUACAAAGGGUAGCUGAAGCGCAAGUUUUUGGCGAAUCUCAAAAAAACAGUCUCAGUUCGGAUUGAAGUCUGCAACUCGACUUCAUGAAGUUGGAAUCGCUAGUAAUCGCGAAUCAGCAUGUCGCGGUGAAUACGUUCUCGGGGUUUGUACACACCGCCCGUCA
Molecule: ribosomal RNA, 1288 nt
Filed under: 'Tagetes erecta' little leaf Phytoplasma
Lineage: Bacteria; Bacillati; Mycoplasmatota; Mollicutes; Acholeplasmatales; Acholeplasmataceae
Description: bacterial SSU rRNA
Rfam family: Bacterial small subunit ribosomal RNA
Source: RNAcentral